CACCGCGGUUAUACGAGAGGCCCAAGUUGUUAGCCCCCGGCAUAAAGAGUGGUUAAAACAUCAAACACAAAACUGAGGUCGAACAUCCUCAAGGCUGUUGUACGCUCCCGAGGAUAGGAAGAACAACAACGAAAGUGGCCUCACCAAAUUUGAACCCACGAAAGCCAGGGCA
This 172-nucleotide ribosomal RNA is filed under the name Chelonodontops patoca (milkspotted puffer). RNAcentral's name for it is "partial 12S ribosomal RNA". The record is from RNAcentral. Lineage: Eukaryota; Metazoa; Chordata; Actinopteri; Tetraodontiformes; Tetraodontidae.